AUUCCAGCUCCGAUAGCGUAUAUUUAAGUUGCUGCAGUUAAAAAGCUCGUAGUUGGAUUUCGGGUGGGAAUGGCCGGUCCGCCGUUUCGGUGUGCACUUGCUACGCCCACCUUGCUGCCGGGGACGUGCUCUUGAGUUCACGCUCGGGACACGGAGUCGGCGAGGUUACUUUGAGUAAAUUAGAGUGUUCAAAGCAGGCCUACGCUCUGAAUACAUUAGCAUGGAAUAACACGAUAGGACUCUGGCCUAUCUUGUUGGUCUGUAGGACCGGAGUAAUGAUUAAGAGGGACAGUCGGGGGCAUUCGUAUUUCAUUGUCAGAGGUGAAAUUCUUGGAUUUAUGAAAGACGAACUACUGCGAAAGCAUCUGCCAAGGAUGUUUUCAUUA
RNAcentral lists this ribosomal RNA (386 nucleotides) under Picochlorum sp. RNAcentral's name for it is "partial small subunit ribosomal RNA". It matches the Rfam family "Eukaryotic small subunit ribosomal RNA", at positions 582 to 975 of the family's 1831-position model. Lineage: Eukaryota; Viridiplantae; Chlorophyta; Trebouxiophyceae. The record is from RNAcentral.